UUCCUAUCUCCUCCUUCAGAAAUUGUGUAUGCUGUAGAUCGACUUCUGAAGCAGUUACCACAAUUUGUUUUUGUCCCUUCUCCAAAGAAGUGUUUGGUUUAAUUGAUAUAAUCUUAUUUUUGGCAGUUAUCGGCAAUGGUGUUGCAAGUCGAUUAGCAGCUAGAAUUGCACCCUUAGUUGUCGCUAACUUCCUUUGAGUUGUGAAAUGAUCCUCACUGUCCUCUCCUGAAGUAUCGUCCUCAAAAUCUUGGUCGUCGUCUGAAGAUGAGAAAGCAGCAAAUCCUUCUCCUAACGCCUCGUCGCCGUCAUAAUCUCGUUGGUCUUUCCACAAUUUUGAACUAACAACCAAGUCUCUCCUGGUAA
This 363-nucleotide long non-coding RNA is filed under the name Nicotiana benthamiana. RNAcentral describes it as "long non-coding RNA (NBEN_LNC033377)". Lineage: Eukaryota; Viridiplantae; Streptophyta; Magnoliopsida; Solanales; Solanaceae. The record is from RNAcentral.